GCGGGAAGAGCUCAAAUUUGAAAUCUGGUGGACUUCGUUCAUCCGAGUUGUAAUCUAUAGAAGUGUUUUCCGUGCUGGCUCAUGUACAAGUCCCUUGGAACAGGGCGUCAUAGAGGGUGAGAAUCCCGUACUUGACAUGAACCACCAGUGCUCUGUGAUACAUUUUCAACGAGUCGAGUUGUUUGGGAAUGCAGCUCAAAAUGGGUGGUAAAUUCCAUCUAAAGCUAAAUAUUGGCGAGAGACCGAUAGCGAACAAGUACCGUGAGGGAAAGAUGAAAAGCACUUUGGAAAGAGAGUUAAACAGUAUGUGAAAUUGUUAAAAGGGAAACGAUUGAAGUCAGUCGUGCCUUGUGGACUCAGCCGGUUAUGCCGGUGUACUUCCACUUGGCGGGGUCAACAUCAGUUUUGCUCGCUGGAAAAGGUCGCAAGGAAGGUAGCACUCUCGGGUGAACUUAUAGCCUUGCGUCGUAUACGGCGGGUGGGACUGAGGAACGCAGCAUGCCUUUUUGGCCGGGGUUCGCCCACGUACAUGCUUAGGAUGUUGACAUAAUGGCUUUAAACGACCCGUCUU
This 571-nucleotide ribosomal RNA is filed under the name Heterocephalacria sp. RNAcentral's name for it is "partial large subunit ribosomal RNA". It matches the Rfam family "Eukaryotic large subunit ribosomal RNA", at positions 98 to 655 of the family's 3401-position model. The record is from RNAcentral. Lineage: Eukaryota; Fungi; Basidiomycota; Tremellomycetes; Filobasidiales; Filobasidiaceae.